This 323-nucleotide unclassified non-coding RNA is filed under the name uncultured fungus. RNAcentral's name for it is "partial contains small subunit ribosomal RNA, internal transcribed spacer 1, and 5.8S ribosomal RNA". The stretch from base 1 to 73 matches the Rfam family "Eukaryotic small subunit ribosomal RNA", at positions 1759 to 1831 of the family's 1831-position model. The record is from RNAcentral. Lineage: Eukaryota; Fungi.
UCAAACUUGGUCAUUUAGAGGAAGUAAAAGUCGUAACAAGGUUUCCGUAGGUGAACCUGCGGAAGGAUCAUUGUUGAAUAGUUCGUGGUGCUGUGCUGGCCUUUCGGGGCAUGUGUACGCAUUGCAAUUAUUUCAUUAUCUUCUUGUGAACUAGUGUAGGCUUUGGGACCCUUGUGCGAUUCAUCGUGCAUAGGAACCGAGUCUAUGAUUUAUCUAAACCUUUGUAUGUUUAUGAAUGUCUCUUUAUUGGCCGCAAGGCUAGUAAAAUCUAUACAACUUUCAGCAACGGAUCUCUUGGCUCUCCCAUCGAUGAAGAACGCAGC